This 224-nucleotide ribosomal RNA is filed under the name uncultured prokaryote. RNAcentral describes it as "partial 16S ribosomal RNA". It matches the Rfam family "Bacterial small subunit ribosomal RNA", at positions 525 to 748 of the family's 1533-position model. The record is from RNAcentral.
ACAGAGGUGGCAAGCGUUGUUCGGAAUUACUGGGCGUAAAGGGCGUGUAGGCGGUCCGCUAAGUCUGAUGUGAAAGCCCGGGGCUCACCCCCGGAAGUGCAUUGGAAACUGGUGGACUCGAGUCCCGGAGAGGAGGGUGGAAUUCCUGGUGUAGCGGUGAAAUGCGUAGAUAUCAGGAGGAACACCGGUGGCGAAGGCGGCCCUCUGGACGGUGACUGACGCUA